RNAcentral lists this ribosomal RNA (541 nucleotides) under uncultured bacterium. RNAcentral's name for it is "bacterial SSU rRNA". It matches the Rfam family "Bacterial small subunit ribosomal RNA", at positions 125 to 661 of the family's 1533-position model. The record is from RNAcentral.
UCUGCCUGGUAGUGGGGGAUAACGUUCGGAAACGGACGCUAAUACCGCAUACGUCCUACGGGAGAAAGCAGGGGACCUUCGGGCCUUGCGCUAUCAGAUGAGCCUAGGUCGGAUUAGCUAGUUGGUGGGGUAAUGGCUCACCAAGGCGACGAUCCGUAACUGGUCUGAGAGGAUGAUCAGUCACACUGGAACUGAGACACGGUCCAGACUCCUACGGGAGGCAGCAGUGGGGAAUAUUGGACAAUGGGCGAAAGCCUGAUCCAGCCAUGCCGCGUGUGUGAAGAAGGUCUUCGGAUUGUAAAGCACUUUAAGUUGGGAGGAAGGGUUGUAGAUUAAUACUCUGCAAUUUUGACGUUACCGACAGAAUAAGCACCGGCUAACUCUGUGCCAGCAGCCGCGGUAAUACAGAGGGUGCAAGCGUUAAUCGGAAUUACUGGGCGUAAAGCGCGCGUAGGUGGUUUGUUAAGUUGGAUGUGAAAUCCCCGGGCUCAACCUGGGAACUGCAUUCAAAACUGACUGACUAGAGUAUGGUAGAGGGUGG